UCCCUGGUGGCUCAGAUGGUAAAGCGUCUGCCUGCAAUGCGGGAGACUCGGGUUCAAUCCCUGGGUUGGGAA
RNAcentral lists this transfer RNA (72 nucleotides) under Bos taurus (domestic cattle). It matches the Rfam family "tRNA". From Rfam's summary of the family: Transfer RNA (tRNA) molecules are approximately 80 nucleotides in length. Their secondary structure includes four short double-helical elements and three loops (D, anti-codon, and T loops). Lineage: Eukaryota; Metazoa; Chordata; Mammalia; Artiodactyla; Bovidae. The record is from Rfam by way of RNAcentral. RNAcentral also lists the same sequence under 3 other names.